CCUGUGGUGGAUUCAGGAAUAUUGGUCAAUGGGCGGAAGCCUGAACCAGCCAAGUCGCGUGAGGGAAGACGGUCCUAUGGAUUGUAAACCUCUUUUGCAGGGGAGCAAGGCGCGGUACGUGUACCGCGAAGGAGAGUACCCUGAGAAAAAGCAUCGGCUAACUCCGUGCCAGCAGCCGCGGUAAUACGGAGGAUGCGAGCGUUAUCCGGAUUUAUUGGGUUUAAAGGGUGCGCAGGCGGACUGUUAAGUCAGCGGUAAAAUGUCGGUGCUCAACACCGGCCGGCCGUUGAAACUGGCAGCCUUGAGUGAGCGAGAAGUAUGCGGAAUGCGUGGUGUAGCGGUGAAAUGCAUAGAUAUCACGCAGAACUCCGAUUGCGAAGGCAGCAUACCGGCGCUCAACUGACGCUCAGGCACGAAAGCGUGGGUAUCGAACAGGCUUAGAUACCCUGGUAGUCCACGCAGUAAACGAUGAAUGCUCACUGUCCGGGCCGUUUAAGGCCUGGGUGGUCAAGCGAAAGCGUUAAGCAUUCCACCUGGGGAGUACGCCGGCAACGGUGAAACUCAAAGGAAUUGACGGGGGCCCGCACAAGCGGAGGAACAUGUGGUUUAAUUCGAUGAUACGCGAGGAACCUUACCCGGGCUCAAACGGAAGGGGACAGUAUGAGAAAUCAUACAUUCCUUCGGGACCGCUUCCGAGGUGCUGCAUGGUUUGUCGUCAGCUCGUGCCGUGAGGUGUCGGCUUAGUGCCAUAACGAGCGCAACCCCUAUCGACAGUUGCUAGCAGGUA
This 787-nucleotide ribosomal RNA is filed under the name mouse gut metagenome. Its description in RNAcentral is "bacterial SSU rRNA". It matches the Rfam family "Bacterial small subunit ribosomal RNA", at positions 342 to 1127 of the family's 1533-position model. The record is from RNAcentral.